UACGAAGGGGGCUAGCGUUGCUCGGAAUGACUGGGCGUAAAGGGCGCGUAGGCGGAUGGUACAGUCAGAUGUGAAAUUCCUGGGCUUAACCUGGGGGCUGCAUUUGAUACGUGUUGUCUAGAGUGAGGAAGAGGGUCGUGGAAUUCCCAGUGUAGAGGUGAAAUUCGUAGAUAUUGGGAAGAACACCGGUGGCGAAGGCGGCGACCUGGUCCUUUACUGACGCUGAGGCGCGAAAGCGUGGGGAGCAAACAGG
This 253-nucleotide ribosomal RNA is filed under the name uncultured bacterium. RNAcentral describes it as "partial 16S ribosomal RNA". It matches the Rfam family "Bacterial small subunit ribosomal RNA", at positions 524 to 776 of the family's 1533-position model. The record is from RNAcentral.